UAACUGUGUUAACCAGUUUUCAAGCGAGCCGUCUGUCUGUUUAAAUACUACGAGACAAAAAUCGAAAUAGGUCUGGGUGUUCUGCGUAUUUGGGAUUCAUUAGUUUGAUACCAGGCAUCCUGGACAUAAGCCUCCCCUUGGCACGCCA
This is a long non-coding RNA of Hyposmocoma kahamanoa, 148 nucleotides long. RefSeq lists it as uncharacterized. The record is from RefSeq and is a predicted model, not a curated record. Lineage: Eukaryota; Metazoa; Arthropoda; Insecta; Lepidoptera; Cosmopterigidae. The transcript has 3 exons.